UUUGGAAAAACUAUACUUUUAUGUCAGGAUUACUAAAUUUUAUAGACUGAACCAAACACAGUAAUGCUAUAAACACUGUAAUCCAACAUUAUAUUACUCGAUUAAGCCAAACGCGCUAAUGCAGCAUCAGUAGUAAUCUCACACCGAAAUCCAAAAUACCUGAAUAUGUCGAUAUACUAUGUAAUAUUACAUAAUUCGAACCAAACGCGCCCUUAGUAAUUCUUGGCUUUACCAUAUUCUAGAAUUGAUCCUGUCACGCCCCGGGGUCCCUUUUUAUUUGAAACAUAGCGGAAAAGCGUCAAAAUUUUUUUUUUGAUAAUCUGACCCCAGGAUAUGCCAGAUCCGCCACAAAUACAGGAAAUCCACUGUUCACACGGACAGAGUCUCCCCUGUAUUUGCACGGCGUCGCACAAGUACAAAAGUACANGAUACAUCAUUGGUGGAGCAAUGUCUGAAUUCGAUUUCAGUGGGUACGUGGUCAAGUUUCGGGGAAGAAACUUUUUUUAAGGGGGGGAUGAUGUAAGGACUGAGAUUUCGACAGCGUAGCUA
Molecule: long non-coding RNA, 549 nt
Filed under: Ananas comosus (pineapple)
Lineage: Eukaryota; Viridiplantae; Streptophyta; Magnoliopsida; Poales; Bromeliaceae
Description: long non-coding RNA (ACOM_LNC041692)
Source: RNAcentral